AAAAAAUAAUGUUAUUUCAAUAGGAAUAUAAAGAAAGAUUAACAAAUUACAUAAAAUAUUUUAUUAAAUUCUUCAUAAAAAUAUAUCAAAAAAAAGAACUGAAACAUCUUAGUAAAACUAAAAUAUAUUCUUGAAAGUAGUGGCGAACGAAAUCAAAAAAUUUAAAAAUAAAUUGAAUUACACAAAAAUCACCUUCUAAAUUACCUAUAAAAAUAGUACUGUAAAGGAAAUUUAUAAAUAAUAAAAUAAAAUAAUGAUAACCAUUUACCUUUUGUAUAAUGGACUUAUAAGAAAUAAAACUUGUGAGCUUUAAGGCGAAAAGAAAUUAAAAAAAUAAGUUUAACCCGAAACCAGAUGAUCUAAUUGUGAACAAUCAUAAGGACUAACUAAUAAAUGUAGAAAAAUUUUUAGAAGAUUUGCAAUUAGCAGCGAAAAACUAAUCGACUCUGGAUAUAGCUGGUUCUUUGCGAAAAUUAUAUAAGUAAAAUCAUUUUCAUAAUAGAUCAGACUCAAAGCUCAAACGUUUUUAGUCAAAAGAAAAAUAAUUUUAAUCAGAAAUUAUUAUGUUUAAAUUAAAAGUUUAAAACCUAAAAAUCAUACAAACACUACAAAAAUAGGCUUAGAAACUGCCAAAUUUGAAAGAGUACGUAAUAGUUUAUUUAUUGAAAGAAUUACUAUAAAAAUAAAACUCAUUUAAUAUAUAAAUUCUGAAUAAAAUUGGUAGCAAAGUAUUUUGUUUUCAAAAAGAAAUUAAAACAAAAGAAAUAAUAUAAGUAUAAGUAAGAUUAAAUUAUUCCUAAGAUUUCUUAUUUUAAUAAAUGAAUAAGGUUAAACAGACCCUCAAAAAAGAAGGGGUAAAAUAAUUAAAAUUUCAAGAAAAUAAAAUUUAAAAAACUGUAUUUAACUAAAUCAAGAAGGAAUAAAAAAUGAGCCUCAUUUUAUUAAAGGAACUCGGCAAAAUUGAUAUCGACUGUUUACCAAAAACAUAGCCCUUGUAAUAAUCAAAGGUGCAACCUGCCCAAUGAUUUUUAAGCAAAUAAAAAUAACAUUUUUAUAAUAAAAUUUAAAGGACGCAGUAUCUUGACUGUGGUAAUGUAGCAUAAUCACUCGCCAUUUAAUUGAUGGAUAGUAUGAACGGUUAAACGAAUUUCACACUGUCUUUAAUAAAAUACUCAUGAAAUUAAAAUAAUAGUUAAGAUGCUAUUUAAAACUGUAAGACGAAAAGACCCUAUAGAGCUUCACUACAUUUUCUAUGAAAUCAAUGAAAUAAAAAAUUCUAAUAAAAUAGAAAAAGGUAGUUUAGUUGGGGCGACUAUCUUCUAUAAAUAACGAAGACAAGCAAUGUUAAUGAAAAAACUUAUUGUAUAAUAUAUAAAUUUAACAAUUAUGAAAAUAGGCCAUAAUGACCCAUUAGGAUUAAGUAAUAGACCUAAUGAUUAAUAAAUAAAAGCUACCUUAGGGAUAACAGGAUAAUUUUGUUUUAGAGAUCAUAUCGAAGACAAAGUUUGUCACCUCUAUGUUGAAUUAAGAUAUCCUGAUAGUGCAGAAGCUAUCAAAGGUAGGUCUGUUCGACCUUUAAAAUCUUACAUG
RNAcentral lists this ribosomal RNA (1590 nucleotides) under Halitholus cirratus. RNAcentral's name for it is "partial 16S ribosomal RNA". The stretch from base 225 to 1590 matches the Rfam family "Bacterial large subunit ribosomal RNA", at positions 1 to 2602 of the family's 2925-position model. The record is from RNAcentral. Lineage: Eukaryota; Metazoa; Cnidaria; Hydrozoa; Anthoathecata; Pandeidae.